UUGCCCCCCCCUUUGCUCCCCUCUUUUGCCUCUUUCGUUGCUCCCCUUUGCUGCCCAGGGAGGUGGUGGAGUGGCCGUGGCUGGAGGUUUUGAAGCCAAGCCUGGCUGGGGCUCUUAGUGCCAUGGUCUGGUUCAGUGGCCAGGGCUGGGUGCUAGGUUGGACUGGGUGAGCUUGGAGCUCUCUUCCAGCCUGCUUGAUUCCAUGAUUCUAAGGAGAUCUUGUCAUGGAGGGUAGCAGAAGCCCUUAGCAGGGCUCCCUGCUGUAAAAGUUGCAGUGUCUCACAUUUUAAGCCAGAAGCAUCGUAAACCAAAACAGUCCUUCAGCCCCAUGAGAAAGUCUCUCCCUAGUCGAGAUAAAGGUAAACAAUGGCCACUGUUUUGGCUAGGGGGAACGGCAGUUCUCAUGCCCGCUCGACACCUGGUGUGGGCCGAGCUUUGGGUGGUCCUACAGGUUGUUUUGGUAAGAACUGUCCAAUUAUAUAGGUUAAUUGUAAUUUUGUGCCAAUCUGCAAGAAUAACGUAAAAUAGCCUGGACUGGAGGCUUACACCUCUUUUGAACAUUAUAAAAAUGGUGUGCCUUCCUGGAUCGGGGCGCUUGCUGGCUUGAGCUUGCUGGUAUUUGCUCCUACCGCUCGCUCGCUAGCCUGCCUGCCUGCCUCGCUCCUGCCGCGGUGCCCUCACGUUCCUGAUCGGCCCUGCCCGACGAGGGGCUCGCAGAGGCCUGAAACCUGCUUGGGCCCGACCCUGACGAACAAAGGGACACCGCCCAAAACCUUCGAACUUUGCUGAACUGAACUACGAACAGUGAGUAAAUUGGAGGAAGAACUCUUUACCUAAAGACUGAGUAACUUUAAAGACUCAAAGGAACUCUAAAGAAAUCACAGACUCUCUUUUAUCUGCCAUUUUCUGAACUGUUAUUUUACAACUUCAAUCCAAAAGAACUCACGUGGCGAAUUUAGUUCGGGAGGGGGAUCUCCGUGUUUGAGCAAUAAAUCACUUGAAAAUCCACAAGUGAGUCUCCGCAUAUUUUCCCCACAACCUCCCAAACUACCUUCCUUGACAGAUCUCCCAUGUCCCACCCUAGCUGGAAAACAUCUCCCAUGCGCCAGUCUGGUUGGAUGCUCUCUCGAUGAGACUUCGGGGUUUGAUUUGUUCGAUUUCUCACCUGGCUUUUUAGCCAAAUCUCUCCCUGGUCAGAUUUGGUGCCAUUUGUUUGUUUUGCACUCCUUCUUCUACCCCCGCAGCACCUGAAGUCAAUUGAAGUCUCCUCCCACCCCAGCUGUGGCCACUUUGCCCUCCCUGCUCAGUGCCCUUUAUAAGCACUGCAGGAGGAGCCCAGCCCUGCCCGACAUCCCAGGAUGUUGUGGGUGUUCUUUUCUCUUUUACAGAGAAUGAAGAUUAUGGAGGGGAAACUGAGGUGACUUCAGAGCAGAGAAGUGAUAUUUUGGAGGAAAAAGCUGAACAGGUCUAUUGGGAAGGAAGCAAAAACUCUGGAGGAAAAAUGUGAGGUAAACAAGAGGACACAAGUGACAUUUUGUAGGGGAAAAAAGUGAGUUAGUCUCUAGGGGAUAAAAAUGAAGACUGUAGGAGGGAAAAGCUGAGGUGAUUGGGUGGAACAGAGCUGACAUGAUGCAUGAAAAAACUUAGGGUAACCCAUAGGGGAGACCAUGACCAUUUUGGAGGGAAAUCCUGAGGUAGGUGAGGGUAUGUGGGUAACAUAUUAAAAGAGAGACCUAAGGUAGUGUCUGUGAAACAAGAUACUCUUGUGUCACCAGAGUUAUAGUCAGAGGCGACUCCCUUUGGCCAGAGUACCUUGCUCACCUCCCAUUCUCCAGCCCGAUGCGGAUCCUCUUUGCGAUGUGUCUUGCUUAGCGAUUCCAUGCCACGCCUCUUCCACCAUCAGUGUCAGCUGCUGCUGAGGAAGAAGGAUAGACUUAGGCUUCAGUAGCACCUCCUCCUCCAUGCCCGAGGAAAACAGGGACCUCCCCAGAGGCACCAUCCCUAGUUGGGGAAAGGGAUCAACCUGGUCCCCGAGCCCCCCCUGUAAGCGGGGUAGGGUCCUUUCCGCAGCCCCGGCAGCUUGUCAGCUGUGGGCUGCCUGUGCAGCGUGACCCCCUGUACUCGGGGCGUGUCGCGGCUUUUGUCCUUUGGCCGCCCCUGAGGGCCUUUGGUGUCCCGAGGCUUCCCUGAGCUCCACAGAGUCUGGUGCGGCCAAGUCUGACCCUCUUCUCUCCUGCUGCGGGGUAAGGAUGACUGUCCCAUCGGUGGCUGCCCAGAGCUUGCUCCCUCUCCUGGGAAGAGAUGUGCGUAUGGCCCCCUCCCUUGCCUCUGUGUGUGUGUGCUUGUGUGCCUGAGCGUGCUUGUGGUGUAGGUUGCUGUGAAAAGUGCUGUAGCUUAGCUUAGGCUUCCCAGGAGGGAAAGAGGGGCUCUGGGCAGUAACAGGGGAGUCUCCUCGGAGUGCCCGAGCGGAGUGGGAGCUCAGCUUGUCCUGCAGGGACAGAGCGUAGGCCCUGUUGUUGAGGGCCUGGGUGUGUGCCUCCGUGGCAGCCUGUCCUGUUGUCAAGGUGGCAUCUCAAGGGCCCUGUAGUCGGGGCCUGUGUGAUGAGCUGUGGAGCCUUGUGUCCCUGUGUGUCGCCAGCAGCGGCCCGAGGUCCCGGUGAGCAGGUCCUAGGAGGCUGUUUUGGGCAGCUGAGUGGAGCGCACGUUCCUGGGCCCUUAGAGGGUGGAGGUGGCUCCCUGGGCUCCUGAAGAGGUGUUGCUGUGCUGCAGGCAGGUGGGCCGUCCCGUAAGUUGGGCGCAGUCCGGAGCCCGCGGCUCCGUAGGCGUUUUUGGGAGUGCCGAGGCGAGAGCGGCCGCCCUGUAAGUGGGGCUGUGCGUCGCGGUGCCCGGCGGGAGGUUGGAGGGAACCCCCCUGUAA
Molecule: long non-coding RNA, 2917 nt
Organism: Pogoniulus pusillus (Red-fronted tinkerbird)
Lineage: Eukaryota; Metazoa; Chordata; Aves; Piciformes; Lybiidae
Exons: 2
Source: RefSeq, a predicted model, not a curated record